GACGAACCGAGCGAACGUUGUUCGGAAUCACUGGGCUUAAAGGGCGCGUAGGCGGGUGCUCAAGUCCGGGGUGAAAUCCCACAGCUCAACUGUGGAACUGCCUCGGAUACUGGGUGCCUCGAGGGUGGUAGGGGUAUGCGGAACUAUCGGUGGAGCGGUGAAAUGCGUUGAUAUCGAUAGGAACUCCGGUGGCGAAGGCGGCAUACUGGACCACAUCUGAGCGCUGAGGCGCGAAAGCCAGGGGAGCAAACGGG
This 254-nucleotide ribosomal RNA is filed under the name uncultured bacterium. RNAcentral's name for it is "partial 16S ribosomal RNA". It matches the Rfam family "Bacterial small subunit ribosomal RNA", at positions 524 to 776 of the family's 1533-position model. The record is from RNAcentral.